CCUGUAAUGAUAGUUACAGUCCAGAUUUUGUCUGUUAUGAUUGUUACACAGUCCAGGUUUUGCCUGUUAUGAUUGUUACACAGUCCAGGUUUUUCCUGUUAUGAUUGUUACACAGUCCAGGUUUUGCCUGUUAUGAUUGUUACACAGUCCAGGUUUUGCCUGUUAUGAUUGUUACACAGUCCAGGUUUUGCCUGUUAUGAUUGUUACACAGUCCAGGUUUUGCCUGUUAUGAUUGUUACACAGUCCAGGUUUGGCUUGUUAUGAUUGUUACACAGUCCAGGUUUUGCACGUGAUGAUUGUUACACAGUUCAGGUUUUGCCUGUUAUGAUUGUUACACAGGUCAGGUUUUGCCUGUUAUGAUUGUUACAUAGUCCAGCUUUUGCCCCGUUAUGAUUAUUACACAGUUCGGGUUUUGCCUGUUAUGAUUGUUACACAUUCCGGGUUUUGCCUGUUAUGAUUGUUACACAGUUCAGGUUUUGCCUGUUAUGAUUGUUACACAGGCCAGGUUUUGCCUGUUAUGAUUGUUAUACAGUCCAGUUUUGGCCUGUUAUGAUUGUUACACAGGCCAGGUUUUGCCCUUUAUGAUUGUUACACAGGCCAGGAUUUGCCCGUUAUGAUUGGUACAC
This is a long non-coding RNA of Mytilus californianus (California mussel), 626 nucleotides long. RefSeq lists it as uncharacterized. The record is from RefSeq and is a predicted model, not a curated record. Lineage: Eukaryota; Metazoa; Mollusca; Bivalvia; Mytilida; Mytilidae. The transcript has 3 exons.